RNAcentral lists this non-coding RNA (26 nucleotides) under Homo sapiens (human). Lineage: Eukaryota; Metazoa; Chordata; Mammalia; Primates; Hominidae. The record is from RNAcentral.
UAGACCACAGGAGCAGCUCUCUGAAG